Molecule: ribosomal RNA, 58 nt
Filed under: Acetobacter fabarum
Lineage: Bacteria; Pseudomonadati; Pseudomonadota; Alphaproteobacteria; Acetobacterales; Acetobacteraceae
Description: partial 23S ribosomal RNA
Source: RNAcentral
GGCAUUGAUCCGCAAAUAUCCGAAUGGGGCAACCCACCCAGCAAUGGGUAUCAUCCAU